This 346-nucleotide long non-coding RNA is filed under the name Rattus norvegicus (Norway rat). RNAcentral's name for it is "long non-coding RNA NONRATT011199". The record is from RNAcentral. Lineage: Eukaryota; Metazoa; Chordata; Mammalia; Rodentia; Muridae.
AGGAAGGAGCAAACUUUUAUAAGAUGACCGGCCUAGGUCCUUUGCCUCAAGCUCUUUAUAACGGUGAACACUUUGGCCUCAAAGAGAUAGACACUGAAGAACUAAAAGGGGCCAUUCUGGAAAAAAUGAUGGAUGCGUUUAUAUAUCUACAAAGAGACGUUUUUAUGGGCAAAAUAACGGAUGAAAUCAAUGCGAUGAUUUCCUGAUGGACAAGAGUAACGUUGUACCCCGGCUAAAUUCUUUGAUUUUGCACACUGAACCACAGUAUCUUAACUUACUGUCUUCAUCAGUAACUGCUGAUAUUGAAGAUUUCUCUACUUUCUCCUUCCUGGAUUCACAAGACAAG